AGGAAAUUUUGCUCUUUUAGAAUUUGUCCAGCAGGUCUUCAAGCAAUGAAGGCCCAC
This 57-nucleotide small nuclear RNA is filed under the name Astyanax mexicanus (Mexican tetra). RNAcentral describes it as "U7 small nuclear RNA (ENSAMXG00005006218.1)". It matches the Rfam family "U7 small nuclear RNA". Rfam says of the family: Animal histone pre-mRNAs are spliced by a different mechanism than nuclear pre-mRNAs and self-splicing introns. Lineage: Eukaryota; Metazoa; Chordata; Actinopteri; Characiformes; Acestrorhamphidae. The record is from RNAcentral.